This 493-nucleotide ribosomal RNA is filed under the name uncultured bacterium. RNAcentral describes it as "bacterial SSU rRNA". It matches the Rfam family "Bacterial small subunit ribosomal RNA", at positions 30 to 516 of the family's 1533-position model. The record is from RNAcentral.
AUUGAACGCUGGCGGCAUGCCUUACACAUGCAAGUCGAACGGUAACGCGGGGCAACCUGGCGACGAGUGGCGAACGGGUGAGUAAUGCAUCGGAACGUGCCCAGUAGUGGGGGAUAGCCCGGCGAAAGCCGGAUUAAUACCGCAUACGACCUACGGGUGAAAGCCGGGGAUCUUCGGACCUGGCGCUAGUAGAUGAGCCCGCGUGAGAUUAGCUUGUUGGUGGGGUAAUGGCCUACCAAGGCAACGAUCUCUAGCUGGUCUGAGAGGACGAUCAGCCACACUGGGACUGAGACACGGCCCAGACUCCUACGGGAGGCAGCAGUGGGGAAUAUUGGACAAUGGGCGAAAGCCUGAUCCAGCAAUGCCGCGUGUGUGAAGAAGGCCUGAGGGUUGUAAAGCACUUUCAAUCGUGAAGAAAAGUUAGCAGGCUAAUAACCCUGUGACCUUGACGUUAACGAUACAAGAAGCACCGGCUAACUCCGUGCCAGCAGCC